GUGGUGUUCCGCGAAAUUCCCUA
This 23-nucleotide non-coding RNA is filed under the name Arabidopsis thaliana (thale cress). The record is from RNAcentral. Lineage: Eukaryota; Viridiplantae; Streptophyta; Magnoliopsida; Brassicales; Brassicaceae.